UAGGCGUAAAUGAUGCGAGUUAAGUGUGGGGGCGAUCUACGAGAUGGCCCUGUGCUGUAGGGUAGCCGUUAAACUCGCUGCCUGGGGAGUACGGUCGCAAGGCUGAAACUUAAAGGAAUUGGCGGGGGGAGGCACCACAACGGGUGGAGCCUGCGGUUUAAUUGGACUCAACGCCGGGAAGCUCACCGGAUAAGACAGCGGAAUGAUUGCCGGGCUGAAGACCCUGCAUGACCAGCUGAGAGGUGGUGCAUGGCGUAGUCGUG
This 263-nucleotide ribosomal RNA is filed under the name uncultured archaeon. RNAcentral describes it as "partial 16S ribosomal RNA". It matches the Rfam family "Archaeal small subunit ribosomal RNA", at positions 748 to 1013 of the family's 1478-position model. The record is from RNAcentral.